GGCCCGCUGGCCUAAUGGUAAGGCGUCAGAUUUCGGUGCACCGGAUCAUAUCCUCUGAAGAUUGUGCGUUCGAGCCGCACGUGGGUCG
This 88-nucleotide transfer RNA is filed under the name Schizothecium vesticola. It matches the Rfam family "tRNA". Rfam says of the family: Transfer RNA (tRNA) molecules are approximately 80 nucleotides in length. Their secondary structure includes four short double-helical elements and three loops (D, anti-codon, and T loops). The record is from Rfam by way of RNAcentral. Lineage: Eukaryota; Fungi; Ascomycota; Sordariomycetes; Sordariales; Schizotheciaceae.